This 279-nucleotide unclassified non-coding RNA is filed under the name Hevea brasiliensis (rubber tree). Lineage: Eukaryota; Viridiplantae; Streptophyta; Magnoliopsida; Malpighiales; Euphorbiaceae. The record is from RNAcentral.
AAUUGUUCAUCAGGAAAAGUAAGGUCACUUCCUUAGAUAUCUAGCUGCUCAGUUUAUCCACUAGGGAGAGAAGCAAAAUCUUGUGCUAUUGCUCUUAGUGGCUCUAUCUUAGAAUGAGCCAUGGCAAUAACAGUAUGCGUAUUUUCAUGACUUAGUCAUUUAUUGAGUAUAACAUGCUACACAUGAUUGGUGAUAUAUACUCUUAUACUAUUUGACUUGUGUGGCAUAACUUUUAAUAACAUUUGUGUGUGUGUGUGUAAGCAUUACACAUUUCCGAGG